GGAGGAAAGUAGGGGAUCGCAAGACCUUGCGCUUUUGGAGCGGCCGAUGUCUGAUUAGCUAGUUGGUGAGGUAAAGGCUUACCAAGGCGUCGAUCAGUAGCUGGUCUGAGAGGACGACCAGCCACACUGGGACUGAGACACGGCCCAGACUCCUACGGGAGGCAGCAGUGGGGAAUUUUGGACAAUGGGGGAAACCCUGAUCCAGCCAUGCCGCGUGAGUGAAGAAGGCCUUCGGGUUGUAAAGCUCUUUCAGCCGGAACGAAACGGUCACGGCUAAUACCUGUGACCACUGACGGUACCGGAAGAAGAAGCACCGGCUAACUACGUGCCAGCAGCCGCGGUAAUACGUAGGGUGCAAGCGUUAAUCGGAAUUACUGGGCGUAAAGCGUGCGCAGGCGGUUUUGUAAGCCAGAUGUGAAAUCCCCGGGCUUAACCUGGGAACUGCGUUUGAAACUACAAAGCUAG
RNAcentral lists this ribosomal RNA (465 nucleotides) under uncultured ammonia-oxidizing bacterium. Its description in RNAcentral is "bacterial SSU rRNA". It matches the Rfam family "Bacterial small subunit ribosomal RNA", at positions 198 to 644 of the family's 1533-position model. The record is from RNAcentral.